GCCAUUUUCGAAUAUAAAAUGUUGGGCUUGUGUACUCAAAAGUUUCCGUCACUUUUUGUGAAUAAUAUAUCGAGGACUUAUUUUGUUAGUUUUUAAAAGCAUUUUUAGGUGUCUUGUAGAAUACGAUACCAAACAAACAAAGGUUAAGUUAGGUUGGGUACGUUACGUUGCGUGUUGUUAUGUAGGAAAUCGGAAUAAUGCAUAAUUAUGAUUCCUGUUGCAGUGGUAAACGGUUACAGGUAAAAAUAGCGGCAGUGGCUCACUUUAACCUACUGAAAUGAUACUUUGAAUUUCUGAUGUGCUACCAUUAAAAAAUCCCAUUGCAGUAUCAAUACAAGAAUUGUGGGUAAUAUUAGGGUAAAUAUGUAGAUUAGCUGUAUUUCCUUAAAAAACACAAUGUUACUCUCCAGUUUUACAAAAACGGCGAUAUCUCCUAAAUAUUUGGAAUUUCUUAUCUCCGCCGCCUUUAAUGAAAGGAAGAAGUUAAGGAGCACAAAAUGACACUAUUUUGGGAUUUUUAAUAUUUUUUUUAACAGAUAUCGUUUUUCUCCAGUUUUACCGUAUUUUAAUGUACGUAGGUACUGUAAAUACAUAUAAACUAUUAUUCUUAUGAUGUCACACAUUUAUUUGUAAUAUAGGUAAAAGUUUCGUAUUGCGUAUCCAAGGAGAUCACAUGAUCCUGAGGACACAAUCCUAUAAAUAUUGAUGCUGUGGUACAUGAUGCUUGCUGUUGUGAUUUAGCACGUUUUGUUAGGUUAGUACAGCUGCAUUAAAUAUACUUGAAUAACAUGCCAUCAUAAUGAAGGUAUCUCCUUGGAUACGCAAUACGAAACUUUUACCGUAAUAUUAAUAUUGUGAUCAUGACGUACAGAAUGAAUUGUACAGAAUUACUUUUACAUGCUGACUAAAAACGGCGUAUUAUCGCUGAAGGUAAUUGGAGGAAAUCACUUACAAGGAAGUGUCACAAAUUUGUUCAAAAGAAUGUUGACAAAUCAACUGGCUGCAGAGUACAGUUGGUGGGGAGCAAAAGGGAAGAAAAAUUUCAGAAAAUUGGAACUUUCACAUGUUGUUAUGAGGGUGGUUCGUUUCCAUUAUCCGUCUACUACUGAGACUGAAGUGUCCAUCAUUAUUUAUAAUUGGUUAAAACAUGCGAAGAAGAGAUGUAGCUAGUGUUGUAAAUGAAAAAAAGCAUGUGUUUUUUUUCCUCAAAAAUAAAUGUUUUUUAGAAAAAAACUUUGUCCCUAGUUUCCCCCCCCCCCCUUUUUUUCAGGUUUUUUUUAUUAUUUUAUAUACUGUAGCUCAUACUUUACAGUUAAUCUUUAUUGUGGAAAAAAAACUUUUUUUUUUUGUUUUUUGUAAAAUAAAAUGGGUUUUUUAUAGAAAAAAAUACUUAGAAAAAAAGGCAUUUUUUUUAUAAACUCUACAUGUAGCACUCUUAAUAAGUAAGUAUAUUUUUGUUUAGUGUUUAUUUGUGAAAUGGGCCACCAGUCAUCAUUAUAAGUUCAGGGUACCUAUUGACUGGGAAACCGGUCGGUCAAAUAUUAUUUAAAAAUUAUGGCUUGGGCUUGUCAUUAGAAAAAUUGUUAAAUGUCAACUUGCUGCCAAUUUUUGAUAUUUUGAAUUAUAUUAUUUUGUUUUCAACUGCAUUUAAUACUAUGUAAAUAAUAUCCACUUGU
This is a long non-coding RNA of Bacillus rossius redtenbacheri, 1676 nucleotides long. RefSeq lists it as uncharacterized. The transcript is spliced from 2 exons. The record is from RefSeq and is a predicted model, not a curated record. NCBI's taxonomy places the organism in Eukaryota, Metazoa, Arthropoda, Insecta, Phasmatodea, Bacillidae.